UCGGGCUUAUGAACAUUCAAUUGUAAGGUAGUUUGAGAGGUAAAGGAAAGACCAAUCGUGAUGACUGACUCACGUGAGGGCCGGCCCACUGAGCAGGGGCGGAUGGUGUAUAGGGGCGAUUUGGGCGACGCACUACCAACUGGGAGAAAGAGGAUUUUUUUUCUAACAAAUUCUAUCACAGCAAAAGUGGUUUUCAGUGUUCUAGACAUAUUAUCUGUCAUUGUCCAAUCAGAAUCGUCAUAUUCAAGCCGCGUUUCAAAUGGUCCCGCCUCUCUGGGCGAAUUCAUUGAGGUGGAAAAUCGCCCAAGGAUUCUCCCAUUGACUGUCAUGUUAAAACUUUUUUUUUCGGAAAAUGAGCCUUCAAUGCAUUUCCAAUAGGGAUUUGGGACUCGCCCUAACGUGCUUGCGUCAUUGUGGCAAAGAGCGCAAAGGGCUUUCUUCGAUCAAGUCACUUGCUAAUUUCAACAUGGCUCAACAAAAUCAACAAAAUUAAUAAAAAAGCGGUCGCACGUCGACAUUCUGUACCAGAAGCUCCAGAAGAAGGACAUUGAUGCAUGGGCCCUCGAGAGCUUUACAAGCAGUGUGCAGACCAUUAGAGACUCUGACCAGCUGCAAGAGCCAUCAGGAAACGACAGACCAAGGACGGCUUUGACAGAAGAGGCGAAGCAGAGGCUGUCUGAAGAGGUCUGCGACAUCAUCCUGGCUCACACCAAAGCGAGGUUCUCUUUCACUGGCCACCUUGUGAGUGCUACCUUAGCACAAGGAAAUAUGUUUGAAAGGUACUGCCAAUCAUUUCCUGCUGAUGCUCUGAAUGCCACUGUGAAGGCAUAUCCCACGCUGAACAAGGCAAAGCUCAAGACGGAACUGUCUCUGAUCUAUGAGAAUCCUGAAUCAAGUGUGCAGCUUCAGUGUGCAUAUUGUAUGUAGUUCUCUGCAAACCUAUGGUGGCAUCAUGCCUUCAGUGUGCAUAUUGUAUAUAGUUCUCUGCAAACCUAUGGUGGCAUCAUGCCUUCAGUGUGCAUAUUGUAUAUAGUUCUCUGCAAACCUAUGGUGGCAUCAUGCCUUCAGUGUGUCUUGAACAACCACACAUGAAAGGUUGCACAUAUUAGAUUGAUAUUUUAUCGUAUUUGUCUAAAUGCAUACUUGACUGUAGAUAGAUUUAUGAGGGAAGUUACCAACACAAUAGAUUGACUGUAACACACUCACUCUCACUCUCACUCAAACAAAUAUAGAGACAGAGAGAGAAUGUUAACUUGUGUAUAAUUCCCAAUUAUUAUUUAUGUAUUUGCACAUUUAAUCUUGCGGAAUUCUACAAGGCAAAUAAAUUAAGUUUAAACUUAG
Gadus macrocephalus (Pacific cod) is the source of this 1341-nucleotide long non-coding RNA. RefSeq lists it as uncharacterized. Lineage: Eukaryota; Metazoa; Chordata; Actinopteri; Gadiformes; Gadidae. The transcript is spliced from 2 exons. The record is from RefSeq and is a predicted model, not a curated record.